UUUUCGCAGGCCUUUGAAUGUUUGUCUCCAUGGUUCCAGUGCAGAGAAGUCAGCCUUCCGACACGAGUCCUUGGAUUUUCUGAUGAGGACUUGCACGAGACAGUCCAGGGAGCUGCAGGCCUUCGACUUUGACUUAAUCCUUGCAGAUGGCCAUUGAUCAUCUUCUGCUCUGAUUCCUCAGGUGCUAUUUGAGAAGCACACCUGACUCCAGUUGCUGUGGAUGCAGGUCCUGUCCUCCUCAGCCGUGGACCUCAUGCUGCGCUGGGACAGACAUUUAUGCUGACUCCUUCCGCAGGAUUGCUGUUCUGACUCGGGGCUACCUUUGCAAAAGUUGGACUAAUCCUAAUGUGUGGAAUCUACAUGUCCCAGAGCGUGCAUUCAUUUUACAAACUGUAUAUCAUGAUGGAUAGCACCAGUGCCCUGCCGCCUGCCUCAACUGCCACGAGGUGAAGGAUGAGAGCCCCUGAGGACCCCUUCUCUGGCUGAGAGGGGCCAUCUCGCCUGCCCGCACGGUCUCCUGCUUCCACAUUGUUUCUUUCCCGGGAGGACAGCCACAAGGCUCUUCUUGGGCUCCAAAUUUAGAGUCCAUCCUAAGACAUAGGUUUGCUGGAGGAAUUAGGAAUUUCGUGAAUAUGUAGGAAAGCAUGUUAGAAUGCAGGAAUGGUGAUAAUUAUUACAAAAAGGGGAACCAGAGGAGGAAACUUCUUCCAAAGACAGCACGACUACGUAAACAUAAUCAUGAUCAGAAUAAGUGGGUUAGUGAUGGAGAAUCAGCUUCCCUAAGGGGAUAGGAUGCAAACCCCAAGGGAGACGCGGGCACACAUGAUCACUGAUACGUAACCAGCGCUUAGGACAGAGCUGACCAUGUGCUAGGCGAUAAAAAUGUGCUGACCGGAUGACAGAUUCAUGUGUGACAGUUGAUAUUAUGGCUGGAGAAAAAGAAACUUUUCAGUGCAUGUUUCUGAAAUGGUAGCUUAUCCAUAUAAAAUAUGUAUGGACCCCAAUUCCAUAUUUUAAAAACAAAUCAGUUCCAGUCAACUGCCAAUCUAAAUGUGAACAACAAAAUUUUAAAAUGUUUAACAGAUAAUAUAUUGCUACACAGUUUCACGACCUUGAUAUUGGAGAGUGCUU
This is a long non-coding RNA of Cavia porcellus (domestic guinea pig), 1131 nucleotides long. RefSeq lists it as uncharacterized. NCBI's taxonomy places the organism in Eukaryota, Metazoa, Chordata, Mammalia, Rodentia, Caviidae. The transcript is spliced from 3 exons. The record is from RefSeq and is a predicted model, not a curated record.